CCUACGGGAGGCAGCAGUGGGGAAUAUUGGACAAUGGGCGAAAGCCUGAUCCAGCAAUGCCGCGUGAGUCAUGAAGGCCUUCGGGUCGUAAAGCUCUUUUACCAGGGAUGAUAAUGACAGUACCUGGAGAAUAAGCUCCGGCUAACUCCGUGCCAGCAGCCGCGGUAAUACGGAGGGAGCUAGCGUUGUUCGGAAUUACUGGGCGUAAAGAGUACGUAGGCGGUUAUUCAAGUCAGAGGUGAAAGCCCGGGGCUCAACCCCGGGAACUGCCUUUGAAACUAGAUAACUAGAGUCUUGGAGAGGUUAGUGGAAUUCCGAGUGUAGAGGUGAAAUUCGUAGAUAUUCGGAAGAACACCAGUGGCGAAGGCGACUAACUGGACAAGUACUGACGCUGAGGUACGAAAGCGUGGGGAGCAAACAGGAUUAGAUACCCUGGUAGUCCACGCCGUAAACGAUGAUAACUAGUUGUUCGGUCACUUGGUGACUGAGUGACGCAGCUACGCAUAAGUUAUCCGUCCGUCGGGUAGGUACGGUCGCGAGAUAAACUACAAUAGAAUAGACGGCGUGAGACGNGCCGACGGACGACGACGAGGGAGUAGG
Molecule: ribosomal RNA, 600 nt
Filed under: uncultured bacterium
Lineage: Bacteria
Description: bacterial SSU rRNA
Rfam family: Bacterial small subunit ribosomal RNA
Source: RNAcentral